This 116-nucleotide ribosomal RNA is filed under the name Actinomycetota bacterium. Lineage: Bacteria; Bacillati; Actinomycetota. The record is from RNAcentral.
UUCGGUGGCCAUAGCGGAGGUGUUCACCUGUAACCAUUCCGAACACAGAAGUUAAGCCCUCCAGCGCCGAUGGUACUGCAGGGGUAACCCUGUGGGAGAGUAGGUCGCCGCCGAAU